CAACAACAGAGCUUAGGUUUAUUACCAACAACUCCAACAUAUUCUAAGAGUUUGAAUUCUAUAAACUAUCUUGGUCUUAAACCAGUCCCAAUGAAGCAAAGUGGUGGUGCUGUACAGAAGCCUACAAAGCUUUAUAGAGGAGUGAGACAACGUCAUUGGGGUAAAUGGGUAGCUGAAAUUAGACUUCCUAAAAAUAGAACUAGGCUUUGGCUUGGCACUUUUGAUACUGCUGAAGAAGCUGCUUUGGCUUAUGACAAAGCUGCUUAUAAGCUAAGAGGAGAGUUUGCUAGGCUUAAUUUUCCACAUCUAAGGCAUCAAUUAAACAAUGAAUUAUCUGAUUUUAAGCCUUUGCAUUCCUCUGUUGAUGCUAAACUUGAAGCCAUUUGCCAAAACCUAGCCAAUUCUGAUGGCUUGUCUUCUAAUAAUAAUACUGAUUCCAAGCCAAGAAAGUCCAAAAAAGCAGCAUCCAAAUUGGAUUCAGAUUCUGUUCAAGAUUGUCCCGAAAAUGUUAAUGUCAAGAUUGAGGCCACGUCGUCGUCUUCUCCUACACCGUCUGAGGAAUCAUCAUUAUCAGCAGUGACAUCAUCGCCUGAGUCUGAUAUUACUUUCCUGGAUUUCAUUGAGCCUUCAUUUGAUGAAUCAGAAAACUUCUUUUUACCAAAGUAUCCAUCAGUGGAGAUUGAUUGGGCAGCUCUUUGAAAUUUGUAGUAUUACUUUGUUUUUUCAUAUUGUAAUCUUUAUUAUGUAUGGAGUCGUCAGUCAGGUAAUGGGCUCUUGCAAUGAGGUUUUUGACAUUUGCAAGACUUUGUUUUUUCAUAUUGUAAUCUUUAGGUUUUAUGUUAUGUGUCGAGUCAGUCAGGUAAUGGCCUCUUGCAAUGAGGUUUUUGACAUUUGCAAGAGGUCAGUCGAGUAUUAGAUUCAUGUUGAUAUGGAGUAUUAUGUAAUUGUGGUAGUGGUUUAAGGUCCCUCUCCAUCUUUGGUCAGGCUGUCGUUUUUGUAUAUGCAUGACC
Molecule: long non-coding RNA, 1010 nt
Filed under: Nicotiana benthamiana
Lineage: Eukaryota; Viridiplantae; Streptophyta; Magnoliopsida; Solanales; Solanaceae
Description: long non-coding RNA (NBEN_LNC042027)
Source: RNAcentral